CCUACGGGAGGCAGCAGUGAGGAAUAUUGGUCAAUGGACGCAAGUCUGAACCAGUCAUGCCGCGUGCAGGAAGACGGCUCUAUGAGUUGUAACCUGCUUUUGUACGGGGGUAAACGCAGAUACGCGUAUCUGUCUGAAAGUAUCGUACGAAUAAGGAUCGGCUAACUCAGUGCCAGCAGCCGCGGUAAUACGGAGGAUUCAAGCGUUAUCCGGAUUUAUUGGGUUUAAAGGGUGCGUAGGCGGUCGGAUAAGUUAGAGGUGAAAUCCCGAGGCUCAACUUCGGAAUUGCCUCUGAAACUGUUCGGCUAGAGAGUAGUUGCGGUAGGCGGAAUGUAUGGUGUAGCGGUGAAAUGCUUAGAGAUCAUACAGAACACCGAUUGCGAAGGCAGCUUACCAAGCUACUUCUGACGUUGAGGCACGAAAGCGUGGGGAGCAAACAGGAUUAGAUACCCUUGUAGUC
RNAcentral lists this ribosomal RNA (460 nucleotides) under uncultured bacterium. RNAcentral's name for it is "partial 16S ribosomal RNA". It matches the Rfam family "Bacterial small subunit ribosomal RNA", at positions 338 to 795 of the family's 1533-position model. The record is from RNAcentral.